ACCAAAUUACCACAUUGAAAACACCGGUUCUCGUCCGAUCACCGAAGUUAAGCAAUGUCGGGCCCGGUCAGUACUUGGGAGGGUGACCACCUGGGAACACCGGGUGCUGUAAGCU
Molecule: ribosomal RNA, 115 nt
Filed under: Cordylochernes scorpioides
Lineage: Eukaryota; Metazoa; Arthropoda; Arachnida; Pseudoscorpiones; Chernetidae
Source: RNAcentral